Oryza sativa Japonica Group (Japanese rice) is the source of this 5358-nucleotide non-coding RNA. NCBI's taxonomy places the organism in Eukaryota, Viridiplantae, Streptophyta, Magnoliopsida, Poales, Poaceae. The record is from RefSeq and is a predicted model, not a curated record.
GCACGGACCCGGAGCCACAGAUGAGAGAGUAGACAUACGGUUGUUGGGCACCGGCGUAGUAUAAACUCAUCAGCAGUAGUACGUAGUGCCUAGAGAUGGCAAUGGGGCCCAUUCACCGUUUCCACGCGGUGAAUUCACCUAUUAGGUGACGGGGAUAAUUAAUAUCUAUUCACCAAGGGGAAUAAAAUGGUUAAAAACCUCUCACCAUCGGGGAUGACAGGCCCCUAACCCGACUGACUGUACUGUACCAUGGCUUUUUAGAUGUUUUGGUCCAUAAUACUAAAGCCCAUUUAACAGGCAUAUCUAUAUCUAUAUUAAUAUAAAAAGGAGGAGUUGCCCCCCUCCAAUGCUACUGGCCAAAUCAUUCGGAUUAAUCUGAACCAUCCAUCCGCGCGCAACUUAUUUCCACCAUACGAUUUCGCACCCGAGGAUUGCACACCGAUUGGCCGAAGACAUCGCUCAUCCGUCCUCAUCCACCCGCUACUGCGAAGACAUCGCUCCUCGACUCCUCCUCACUCGCUCCUCUUACUCCCCGCUGCCACCGCUCCUCCGCGGCCACGCCGGAGCCACUGCCGGGUCCUUCUUCUUCCCCACCGCCGGGUCCUGCUUCUUCCCCAUCCCCACCGACGCGGCCGGCCUCUUCGCUCGCGCCUCCUCCUCCCCGCUGCCGCCGCUCCGCCGCAUCCUAGACGGAGCUCUGCCGGAGCUCCGCCGGACUCUUACUCGGAGCCGCCGCCGGAGCAGGCCUCGGCCCCUCAUCAAGUAAGUUCCUUAAAUCCUGUCUCUUUCCCUAAUCCCUAAUCUUCUCCGUACGAACACGAUCUGAAAACAAGUGACCAUAAGUUUCCUUUUUUGUUGAAGUUUGAUAUGUUUCUAUGCGCUCAGACCUCAAUCGCGAUCUCCCUCGCUCAAUGCAAAGCAUCGGACUUCAGCGAUCAACGCUUGAUUGCCAAAUGGUCUGAUCCGGCCGCUCCGCUGCCAAGGCCACCACCCCGAGAUCGCGUGGAUCUGGCUGCUCCGCCGCCGAGGCCUUCAACCCUGAGCCCUUCUGCCAUGAGUCCGCAGCAGGCUCCAUUGUUGUGUUCACCGCCCGGGCCCCUCACCGCCAGAUCGCAGUCCACUCCACCGUGUAGUCGCUGCACUGUGCCCCUUCGCAGCUUUGCUGCCGAGGCCAACGCCCAGGUUGCUAGACCACCACCUUCUUCAACACCAUAUUGUGGCCCUUGACUUCUGCCUGAUUGCCGUCACAUAGACGUUCAUCAACCCUAGGUGGCCAUGGUACCACGAUGCUGCGGUGACUGCUGAUACGAUUCCUGUUAUGUCAUGUUUGAUGCUGAAUCACGAGGAUUCUCCAAGAGUUGGAAGCUAUCAAACAGCACCAGGCAGUCAAGUUGUACAGAUGGUGAAAAGUAUGGAGAAGCUGCAGUCAAGUUGCUUGCUGCUACAUUAGGAGUAACAAGUGAUUUUUCAUCUGAAGACCAAUCCAGAAAUAUUGGGACAAUCUGACUGAAUAACUGCUAAUUAUAACCAAUGUUUUGCUCUAAGUGUUAUUGGAUGUUUUCAUUACUGGUACAGGUUGUUUAUAUAAUCUAUGAUCAAUGGGUGCUUGCUGAUAAAAGAAUGCAUAUAAAUAACAAUUGGUGGAGGCGGAUAAGGAGGCUGGUCAAGUCAGCCUCCUGCAAUUACUAGUGAACAUGCACGUGCAAGGCACGUUUUCGUAAUAUAUAUUAUUGCAAAUAAAAACAUAUUAAAUUGCCAGUUUAUUUCCACUCUCCAUUGAAUGAUAGUUACAAAAUAACUUUCCCUUCUUAAAGAAAAUGUUAUUAUAGAACAAUGCCAUCGCCUUAGCAAUCAGCAAGCAGCAAAUUAGUAUCUCCAUGACCCUAUUGCCAACAUGUGAGACCCCUAGUUAGAUUUGUGAACUAAAAACACCUCAUUACUGUAACAACAGGAAUGUAUCUCUCAUGGCAACAUAAUCUCUAGUACUAACAAAUAGAACAUACAAAGAUUAAAUCUAUUAACCAUUUGAUCAAACUGGAUGAUGUAGGAUUUCUUUCAUAAACAUCACAAGGAAAAUAAAAUUGGAUUUGAUCCUUAUGGGCUUUCACCUUGUCAAAUAGCAGUGUGCAUUAAAAGUAUCUUAUUGUUGCUGCUAGCAAAUCCUGAUGCACACUCCAUUUCUUGAGAAUGUCAGAAAUAUAUGCAACUUGAUUUACUAAACAAGCAAAUAAUUAUGGGUUUGCACCUUGUCAAAUUCAAUAUCUCUUCAUCAGCUUUGUAACUCAGCAAAUAAAAUCAGAAAGUGUAGUUCUUACCAAACAUUCCCUUUUAAGAAAAUAAUCGACUUGGCUUUUAUGAACCCUCGAAUAAAUUACCAGAGACUUGAAUUUUAAUUUAAGAUAUAUAACCAGAGCCCAGAGGCAACUUUUCUCAACCAUGUGAAUAAUAAUUCUCAGUCCAGGUUAAGGACCAGAUGAAUAAUAGGUUGGGGGUUUGUUGAAAUUUUGUAUAGGUGAGAAGGCAUAUUAGAAUAGAGCUUUAGACAUAUUCCCAAGUCCCAACAUUCAAUUAAGUGAGUGUGCAGAGAGAAGUUCACAGGAAACAUAAGACGCAGACUACUUAGUAGUGCUAUGAGUCAAUGAUAAAUUACUUUACUAAGAAUAUAAUAUUGACAUAAUCAAACUUAUAUCAGUUUAAAGGCAUCAACUUUCCAGGUAAUCAAUGAGCAUCAAGAAUACCUUAACAACAGGAUGUUAUACACCUGUACUAAUCUGGAGUAGUAUGGUCAAUAUGCCUAAAAAUGAUCCAAUGAGCAUACUAAAAUUAUACUAUUUUUUUUGCUUCAAGCAAGACCAGUGAAAAAAAAAGUCAGUGCAGACAUGUAAAUGAACAUAUCUAGAGGUGCAGUGUGGAGGCGGAUGAUGGCGGACUUGAGGUGCGGAGGAACUAUUAUUAGGAGAUACUAAAUCAAGUUAUAACAUAUAUACUCAGAAUACGAUAGAACCUUACGAACAUUUUGUUGAGCAGUUCAUGAGCAGAAAAAAUGGUUACUUUGAGUAAAAUGUCUUGUACCAGUUUAGUUCAACAAAAGCAGCAAGCUAAGAUUUCCCAGCAAACUCACGUGUAUAGCUAAAAAGAUUUGGAACAAACAUACCUAUAUGGAAUCGAUCAAUCGCUCAAGCUUCAAUGCUUAAAAUAAGCAUUGAGUGUAGGUAAGAGAAUAAGUAGCUAAGAAUUAUAGAGGCUGGAUUUAGAUGAAUCAUAUCUCCGAAGCGCAAAUGCCUGCCAGAUUCCUUAUGAACCACAAGGUAACCAAUACAAAAGCAAACUGGAAAAAAUAUAGCGAAACAUAAAAUUGGGGCUAAAGUGCUGCACUGUCAGUGUCUAUUGCUAUUCCAUAUGGCAUCCUGCAGGUAUUGAACAAAUUGGGCAAUUUCUCAAACUUGGGAAGCACACAUAAGAGAGCAGAUUAAUAUGCUUUUUAGUGCAUGUACAAUUCAUACAUCAGAAGUUAAACACCACUAUAUUUAUCAAUGUAUUCUUGAGAAGUUAAAUACCAUUUCUUUUGUAUGGAAUCCCAACUUCGCCUAAGCAUUUGCAGCUAGAAGUGCUCAUCUCAUCCCUUUCUUAUGUGGUCUUUCUCAAAAAAAAAAAGAAGAAGAAAAACUCACCAGAGAUGGUUGCAGUAGCGAUUAACUCUAUGAACUCAUGUCAUAUCUUACCAGCAAGCUCAUUUUGCCACAUCAUUCCUCAGAGCUCCCUUUGGUGCGUCUGCUUGUUGCCCUCCAAAUCUUGUGGCUAGAGGUGCUGCCAUCCCAAGUAGGUUGCCUCCUCUUGCAUGCAAAGAAUUUUUUUUUAAAAAAGGGUCUAUUAAGAACUCGUUGACCAAAGAGUAAUGCAUAUAAAAAAAAUCUAUAUUUUAAUUAUACUGAUAGCACUCAUUGUGCCACCAGUUAAAGAACACAGAAAGUAAGUGGGAGAAUCUCUAAAUCUGUGAUGUUGAACUUGAUCAUCACAUAAUUCUCUUAUAUUUAUACUGCCAAUUAGAUUCUCCUUGACUGUCCAAUAGGAUGAGACUGCCUUCCUAAUCCAAAGCACGCCAAUAUACUCGUGAAUUGACAGAGGAGUUAUCUUGGCCGACUCUAUCACUUGCUAUGGUGUCAUUCGAGGGCACCGGCCUCAUUGGGGUGCCCGGACUGGCAGCAGUGGUGUCAGGUGUUAGAGACCUAGGGGCAUGGAAGUGAGGAAUCAUGUGCAUAUAUGUAAAUCGAAAGCAAUAUCAUUUUAAUGACAAUGUGAGAAUAAAAAUAAAAUAAAUAGAAGAUCUAGAUUAUUUGACAAAGUAGAGAUGAUUGUUCUUUCCUUAACAACCUUGUUGUAGGUUGUCUUCAGUAGCGAAUAAUCAUUCCGAAGCUGCAUUGUUUUAAAGCUAAACAUGUUAAGCAGAGACAAUUGAAAAGCAUAAGAAGUCCUAAUGCUUUCAAUUACAAAAAAUAUCGUUGAUCAUGGACUGAACAUACAGGAAGCAAAACACAUUCUAUAAAACCCAAAAAUUGUCGCAAAUGAAAAGGAUAACUGAUUCAAAGACAAAGCAGUAACUCUUUUUGAAAGUUGGGUUGACAUGAAUCUAUAUUGAAGAACUGAUUGCCCAUGGGCGCAUAGUAUUGUCUAAGUGAAGGCCUUUAUAGUUUUACAUUGCCUAGGUGAAGCAGACUCUGAAUUUUAACUAAGUUGCUAAAUUCAAUUUGAUCUCAGGCUACAAAUCGCAAAAACUCUCAUUGACUUUCAGCAUUCAAAUCAUAAAAACUCUAAUUGAUUUCAGCAAUUCGAGUUUUUAAUUGUUUCAAUCAAUCUUUGGAUCUUGAUGGUGCUGAUCAUGGAGGCACAGCUAGCAGACCAUGUCGAGAGAAAUGACAGCUAAAAGAACAAAGUGAAAUGAAGAACGGGCUGCUGCUCACCGAGUCGAGGAGGAUGUUAGAUGCCUUGAAGUUGCUAGAUGACCAGCGGGUGAGUGUAGUGGAGGAAGUCAAGCCCCUUCGCCGUGCCGCGGGCGGUCUGAAUCAUCCUUAUCCAUGGCAUGGGACCAUCGAGACCUGCAGACCAUUACAGCGCAGAUCAGCUUCCCCAAGUCUUUCUAGAAUUGACACAGAGGUGGCGGCAACGAACUGGUGGCUAGGGUGAAGCAAUCAUCAAUUUCUGUUGGUGAACCUUACUGUUUGUGUAGUGCUUUAGCUGAAACCAUCUGAAGGUGGUCAUGAAGUCCUUUCAAAUGAUCGGUGCUCAUUUUGUGAAUUUCAUGAUUGCUUCACAAGCAUGAACAUACACUUUCCCUUCAAUAAUAAUUCUUUUGAGUGACAA